This 105-nucleotide small nucleolar RNA is filed under the name Lingula anatina. RNAcentral describes it as "small nucleolar RNA SNORD14". It matches the Rfam family "Small nucleolar RNA SNORD14". From Rfam's summary of the family: U14 small nucleolar RNA (U14 snoRNA) is required for early cleavages of eukaryotic precursor rRNAs. In yeasts, this molecule possess a stem-loop region (known as the Y-domain) which is essential for function. Lineage: Eukaryota; Metazoa; Brachiopoda; Lingulata; Lingulida; Lingulidae. The record is from Rfam by way of RNAcentral.
UGGUAAUGAUGAAGACUUUUUUGCCAUCAUUCGCGGUUUCCACCAGAGACAGUCAGUCUCAGACUGUCAGAGAUGGUCUUAGUCCUUCCUUGGAAGUCUGAGCCA